This 253-nucleotide ribosomal RNA is filed under the name uncultured bacterium. Its description in RNAcentral is "partial 16S ribosomal RNA". It matches the Rfam family "Bacterial small subunit ribosomal RNA", at positions 524 to 776 of the family's 1533-position model. The record is from RNAcentral.
UACAGGGGGGGCAAGCGUUGUUCGGAAUUAUUGGGCGUAAAGAGCGCGUAGGUGGCUGUAUAAGUCCGUUGUGAAAGUCAAAGGCUCAACCUUUGAAAGCCGAUGGAUACUGUAGAGCUAGAGUACGGAAGAGGCGAGUGGAAUUCCUGGUGUAGCGGUGGAAUGCGCAGAUAUCAGGAGGAACACCAAUAGCGAAGGCAGCUCGCUGGGACGUUACUGACACUGAGGCGCGAAAGCGUGGGGAGCGAACAGG